Molecule: ribosomal RNA, 373 nt
Filed under: uncultured Bacteroidota bacterium
Lineage: Bacteria; Pseudomonadati; Bacteroidota
Description: bacterial SSU rRNA
Rfam family: Bacterial small subunit ribosomal RNA
Source: RNAcentral
UAAUACGGAGGGUGCAAGCGUUAUCCGGAUUCACUGGGUUUAAAGGGUGCGUAGGCGGGUUUGUAAGUCAGUGGUGAAAGCCCGGGGCUCAACUCCGGAACUGCCAUUGAUACUGCAAGCCUUGAGUACAGUUGAGGUGGGCGGAAUACAUCAUGUAGUGGUGAAAUACUUAGAUAUGAUGUAGAACACCGAUUGCGAAGGCAGCUCACUAAAGUGUAACUGACGCUGAGGCACGAAAGCGUGGGGAUCAAACAGGAUUAGAUACCCUGGUAGUCCACGCCCUAAACUAUGUUCACUCGACAUUAGCGAUAUACUGUUAGUGCCUAAGCGAAAGCGUUAAGUGAACCACCUGGGGAGUACGUUCGCAAGAAUG